This 909-nucleotide ribosomal RNA is filed under the name uncultured bacterium. RNAcentral's name for it is "bacterial SSU rRNA". It matches the Rfam family "Bacterial small subunit ribosomal RNA", at positions 10 to 936 of the family's 1533-position model. The record is from RNAcentral.
AAUUUGAUCCUGGCUCAGGACGAACGCUGGCGGCGUGCCUAACACAUGCAAGUCGAGCGGGGAAUACAGCAAUGUAUUCCUAGCGGCGGACGGGUGAGUAACGCGUGGGCAACCUGCCCUGCACAGGGGGAUAACACAGGGAAACUUGUGCUAAUACCGCAUAACAUACUUAUAUGGCAUCAUAUAGGUAUCAAAGGAGCAAUCCGGUGCAGGAUGGGCCCGCGUCCGAUUAGCUAGUUGGUGGGGUAACGGCCUACCAAGCCGAUGACGGGUAGCUGGUCUGGGAGGAUGACCAGCCAGACUGGGACUGAGACACGGCCCAGACUCCUACGGGAGGCAGCAGCAAGGAAUUUUCGGCAAUGGGCGCAAGCCUGACCGAGCAACGCCGCGUGCGGGAUGACGGCCUUCGGGUUGUAAACCGCUUUUCGGGGGGACGAUGAUGACGGUACCCCCGGAACAAGCCCCGGCUAACUCUGUGCCAGCAGCCGCGGUAAGACAGAGGGGGCGAGCGUUGUCCGGAGUCACUGGGCGUAAAGCGCGCGCAGGCGGUCGCCAAAGUGUCGUGUGAAAGCCCCCGGCUCAACCGGGGGAGGCCAUGGCAAACUCGGCGACUGGAGCGGCGGAGAGGCCCCUCGAAUUGCCGGUGUAGCGGUGAAAUGCGUAGAGAUCGGCAGGAAGACCAAGGGGGAAGCCAGGGGGCUGGCCGCUGGCUGACGCUGANGCGCGACAGCGUGGGGAGCGAACCGGAUUAGAUACCCGGGUAGUCCACGCCGUAAACAAUGACCACUCGGCGUGCGGCGACUAUNACGUCGCGGUGCGCCUUAGCUCACGCGCUAAGUGGUCCGCCUGGGAACUACGAGCGCAAGCUUAAAACUCAAAGGAAUUGACGGGGGGCCGCACAGCAGCGGA